RNAcentral lists this ribosomal RNA (253 nucleotides) under uncultured bacterium. Its description in RNAcentral is "partial 16S ribosomal RNA". It matches the Rfam family "Bacterial small subunit ribosomal RNA", at positions 524 to 776 of the family's 1533-position model. The record is from RNAcentral.
UACGAAGGGGGCUAGCGUUGCUCGGAAUCACUGGGCGUAAAGCGCACGUAGGCGGGUCUUUGAGUCAGGGGUGAAAUCCUGGAGCUCAACUCCAGAACUGCCUUUGAUACUGAGGAUCUCGAGUCCGGGAGAGGUGAGUGGAACUCCGAGUGUAGAGGUGAAAUUCGUAGAUAUUCGGAAGAACACCAGUGGCGAAGGCGGCUCACUGGCCCGGUACUGACGCUGAGGUGCGAAAGCGUGGGGAGCAAACAGG